UACAGACCAGUUACAACACCCUGAUCAAAGAGAGAGACCAGCUACAGACCAGAUACAACACCCUGACCAGAGAGAUAGACCAGCUACAGACCAGAUACAACACCCUGACCAAAGAGAGAGACCAGCUACAGACCAGAUACAACACCCUGACCAAAGAGAGAGACCAGCUACAGAAAGAGACAGAACGUCUGAAACAAUCUUUAGUUGAGAAAGUGUGUCCUCAAGGAUGGAAGAAGCUUGGUAACAGUUGUUACUACGUCUCUACUGAGUCCAAAUCCUGGGAGGAGAGCAGACAGGACUGCAGAAAUAGAGGAGCAGACCUGGUGGUCAUCAACAGCCAAGAACAACAGACAUUAGUCAAUUGGUUAUGCGGGGUAAAGAAAUAUGUCUGGAUUGGUCUGACUGACUCUGUUUCUGAGGGGACCUGGAAAUGGGUGGACGACACACCACUGACCACACAGUAAGACAUUCAUGAAUUCUGUGUCACUAUGACAUCACUGUCUGGAGUAGUAGGUUCAGAGUGGACAGCCUGAUUCUAUGUGUUGUUUCUCCUACAGGUAUUGGAACAGUGGACAG
Molecule: non-coding RNA, 576 nt
Organism: Salmo salar (Atlantic salmon)
Lineage: Eukaryota; Metazoa; Chordata; Actinopteri; Salmoniformes; Salmonidae
Source: RefSeq, a predicted model, not a curated record